RNAcentral lists this ribosomal RNA (301 nucleotides) under uncultured bacterium. Its description in RNAcentral is "partial 16S ribosomal RNA". It matches the Rfam family "Bacterial small subunit ribosomal RNA", at positions 509 to 809 of the family's 1533-position model. The record is from RNAcentral.
CAGCAGCCACGGGAAUACGUAGGUGGCAAGCGUUGUCCGGAAUUAUUGGGCGUAAAGGGCUCGCAGGCGGUUUCUUAAGUCUGAUGUGAAAGCCCCCGGCUCAACCGGGGAGGGUCAUUGGAAACUGGGGAACUUGAGUGCAGAAGAGGAGAGUGGAAUUCCACGCGUAGCGGUGAAAUGCGUAGAGAUGUGGAGGAACACCAGUGGCGAAGGCGACUCUCUGGCCUGUAACUGACGCUGAGGAGCGAAAGCGUGGGGAGCGAACAGGAUUAGAGACCCCAGUAGUCCCUGUCUCUUAUAA